Molecule: ribosomal RNA, 475 nt
Filed under: uncultured bacterium
Lineage: Bacteria
Description: bacterial SSU rRNA
Rfam family: Bacterial small subunit ribosomal RNA
Source: RNAcentral
GGACGAACGCUGGCGGCGUGCUUAACACAUGCAAGUCGAGCGAUGAAGCUCUUCGGAAGUGGAUUAGCGGCGGACGGGUGAGUAACACGUGGGUAACCUGCCUCAUAGAGGGGAAUAGCCUUCCGAAAGGAAGAUUAAUACCGCAUAAGAUUGUAAUAUCGCAUGAUAUAGCAAUUAAAGGAGUAAUCCGCUAUGAGAUGGACCCGCGUCGCAUUAGCUAGUUGGUGAGGUAACGGCUCACCAAGGCGACGAUGCGUAGCCGACCUGAGAGGGUGAUCGGCCACAUUGGGACUGAGACACGGCCCAGACUCCUACGGGAGGCAGCAGUGGGGAAUAUCGCACAAUGGGGGAAACCCUGAUGCAGCAAACCGCCGCGUGAGUGAUGACGGUCUUCGGAUUGUAAAGCUCUGUCUUCAGGGACGAUAAUGACGGUACCUGAGGAGGAAGCCACGGCUAACUACGUGCCAGCAGCAGC